GAUGAAGAACGUAGCGAAAUGCGAUAAGUAAUGUGAAUUGCAGAAUUCAGUGAAUCAUCGAAUCUUUGAACGCACAUUGCGCCCGCCAGUAUUCUGGCGGGCAUGCCUGUUCGAGCGUCAUUUCAACCAUCAAGCCCCAGGCUUGUGUUGGAGCCCUGCGGCUGCCGCAGCCUCCCAAAACCAGUGGCGGGCUCGCUAUCACACCGAGUGCAGUAGUUUACUCUUCGCUCAGGGCGUGUGGCGGGUGCUAGCCGUAAAACCCCCAACUUCUCAAUGUUGACCUCGGAUCAUGUAGGAAUACCCGCUGAACUUAAGCAUAUCAAUAAGCGGAGGA
Molecule: unclassified non-coding RNA, 334 nt
Filed under: soil metagenome
Description: partial contains 5.8S ribosomal RNA, internal transcribed spacer 2, and large subunit ribosomal RNA
Rfam family: 5.8S ribosomal RNA (bases 1-120)
Source: RNAcentral